UACGUAGGUGGCAAGCGUUAUCCGGAUUUAUUGGGUGUAAAGGGCGUGUAGGCGGGAAUGCAAGUCAGAUGUGAAAACUAUGGGCUCAACCCAUAGCCUGCAUUUGAAACUGUAUUUCUUGAGUGCUGGAGAGGCAAUCGGAAUUCCGUGUGUAGCGGUGAAAUGCAUAGAUAUCACGCAGAACCCCGAUUGCGAAGGCAGCAUACCGGCGCCCGACUGACGCUGAGGCACGAAAGUGCGGGUAUCGAACAGG
This 253-nucleotide ribosomal RNA is filed under the name uncultured Oscillospira sp. RNAcentral's name for it is "partial 16S ribosomal RNA". It matches the Rfam family "Bacterial small subunit ribosomal RNA", at positions 524 to 776 of the family's 1533-position model. Lineage: Bacteria; Bacillati; Bacillota; Clostridia; Eubacteriales; Oscillospiraceae. The record is from RNAcentral.